CCUACGGGUCGCAGCAGUGGGGAAUCUUGCGCAAUGGGCGAAAGCCUGACGCAGCGACGCCGCGUGCGGGAAGAAGGCCUUCGGGUUGUAAACCGCUUUCAGGAGGCACGAGGCCACUCGGGUUAAUAGCCUAGAGGGUGACGGUACCUCCAGAAGAAGCCCCGGCUAGCUACGUGCCAGCAGCCGCAGUAAUACGUAGGGGGCUAGCGCUGUCCGGAUUUAUUGGGCGUAAAGAGCGCGUAGGCGGCCGAGUAAGUCCGACGUGAAAUCUGGAGGCUCAACCUCCAGCGGUCGUUGGAAACUACUCGGCUAGAGUCCGGAAGAGGAGAGUGGAAUUCCUGGUGUAGCGGUGAAAUGCGCAGAUAUCAGGAAGAACACCGAUGGCGAAAGCAGCUCUCUGGGACGGUACUGACGCUGAGGCGCGAAAGCGUGGGGAGCGAACAGGAUUAGAUACCCGCGUAGUC
RNAcentral lists this ribosomal RNA (464 nucleotides) under uncultured bacterium. RNAcentral describes it as "bacterial SSU rRNA". It matches the Rfam family "Bacterial small subunit ribosomal RNA", at positions 338 to 795 of the family's 1533-position model. The record is from RNAcentral.